UCCUACGGGAGGCAGCAGUGGGGAAUAUUGGACAAUGGGGGCAACCCUGAUCCAGCAAUUCUGUGUGCACGAUGAAGGUCUUCGGAUUGUAAAGUGCUUUCAGCAGGGAAGAAAAAAAUGACGGUACCUGCAGAAGAAGCGACGGCUAAAUACGUGCCAGCAGCCGCGGUAAUACGUAUGUCGCGAGCGUUAUCCGGAAUUAUUGGGCAUAAAGGGCACCUAGGCGGCCGGAUAAGUCUGGGGUGAAAACUUGCGGCUCAACCGCAAGCCUGCCCUGGAAACUAUGCGGCUAGAGUACUGGAGAGGUGGACGGAACUGCACGAGUAGAGGUGAAAUUCGUAGAUAUGUGCAGGAAUGCCGAUGAUGAAGAUAGUUCACUGGACGGUAACUGACGCUGAAGUGCGAAAGCUAGGGGAGCAAACAGGAUUAGAUACCCUGGUAGUCCUAGCUGUAAACGAUGAUUACUGGGUGUGGGCAUGAAGAGUGUCCGUGCCGAAGCUAAUGCGAUAAGUAAUCCGCCUGGGGAGUACGGCCGCAAGGCUGAAACUCAAAUGAAUUGACGGA
This 564-nucleotide ribosomal RNA is filed under the name uncultured bacterium. RNAcentral's name for it is "bacterial SSU rRNA". It matches the Rfam family "Bacterial small subunit ribosomal RNA", at positions 337 to 917 of the family's 1533-position model. The record is from RNAcentral.